This 256-nucleotide small nuclear RNA is filed under the name Dasypus novemcinctus (nine-banded armadillo). Its description in RNAcentral is "7SK RNA (ENSDNOG00000029696.2)". It matches the Rfam family "7SK RNA". From Rfam's summary of the family: 7SK was discovered as an abundant small nuclear RNA in the mid-70s but a possible function has only recently been suggested. Lineage: Eukaryota; Metazoa; Chordata; Mammalia; Cingulata; Dasypodidae. The record is from RNAcentral.
GGAUAUGAGAUGAUUUGACUGCCACAUCGGUUAUCCCACUGAUUUCCAUGGUUGAUUCCGCACUGACUGGUGUCCCCUUCCUCCCUCACCACUCUAUGUGUAUCUCUCCUAAAACUGCACACUCAAAGAGGACAACCUUCCCCUAGAAAAGGACCAUUCUUCAGUCAAGGCUUUAGGAGAAGCUGUGUCACCUGCUGGAACCUUCAAAAUGGACAAGCAUAUUAAUGAAUAUAUAUCUUCUCUGCACUUUGUAAGA